CCUACGGGCGGCUGCAGUGGGGAAUUUUGGACAAUGGGCGCAAGCCUGAUCCAGCCAUGCCGCGUGCGGGAAGAAGGCCUUCGGGUUGUAAACCGCUUUUGUCAGGGAAGAAAAGGUUCUGGCUAAUACCUGGGACUCAUGACGGUACCUGAAGAAUAAGCACCGGCUAACUACGUGCCAGCAGCCGCGGUAAUACGUAGGGUGCAAGCGUUAAUCGGAAUUACUGGGCGUAAAGCGUGCGCAGGCGGUUAUGCAAGACAGAGGUGAAAUCCCCGGGCUCAACCUGGGAACUGCCUUUGUGACUGCAUGGCUAGAGUACGGUAGAGGGGGAUGGAAUUCCGCGUGUAGCAGUGAAAUGCGUAGAUAUGCGGAGGAACACCGAUGGCGAAGGCAAUCCCCUGGACCUGUACUGACGCUCAUGCACGAAAGCGUGGGGAGCAAACAGGAUUAGAUACCCCGGUAGUC
RNAcentral lists this ribosomal RNA (465 nucleotides) under uncultured Roseateles sp. RNAcentral describes it as "bacterial SSU rRNA". It matches the Rfam family "Bacterial small subunit ribosomal RNA", at positions 338 to 795 of the family's 1533-position model. Lineage: Bacteria; Pseudomonadati; Pseudomonadota; Betaproteobacteria; Burkholderiales; Sphaerotilaceae. The record is from RNAcentral.